UGGGCCAUGGGCCAUGGUUUUCCAACCCCUGGUAUAGAGCACAGAAGAGGAAACAAAAUUGACUCUGUACUAAUUUCCCUCACCAGGCAGCUUCAUUUAUUCAUGUACACAUUGUUCAUUACUCUGAAAAAUUUUUCUACAGCUGCAUUCAGAACAGGAAUCAAAACAUGAGAAUAAAAUAAUUUCAGCAAUUUUGGAACUUCUAUGAAUUAAACAACUGUGCUGACUCCAAGGGGAAAGAAAUGAUACAGUCAAAGCAAGAACUUCAUCAUAAAGGAAUUAAGAAAGAGGUGCUUUUUUCCUAAAAGUUUAGUUCCCCACCCAUUGAUGUUGUGCUCAGCCACACGACUUGCCCUGGCCAACGGAUGCAGAUGAAGUAAGAGUGUGCUACUACAGAGCAGAGGCCUUUAAUGACCUCCCCAGAAAACCUAAGCCAUAGCCUAAAGCCAAACCAUUCCAGCCACCCUGCAGAUCUACCGAGGAGGAAAACUAAUGUUUGUUGUUAAAAUAUUUUUCACAUUGCCAUGUGAGAAAGUAUGGUUUGUAAACAAUCAUCAGUUCAGGAAAAAUGUCUCACCUCUCUUAAUAAACUGAGCCAUUGAGUGUGAUUAAGCCACAUAAUUUUACAGAAAUCAUUUUCAAAAAUUUCUCAUCUUUUUCCAAAUGUUAAAUGGUGUAGUAGGAUAGUAUUCUGAAGAACUAAUGAAUGUGCCCUCAACAAUUCUCUACAUUUUAUUGAAUUGUUAACCUGUAGGGCCUUUUCCCACUCCAAAGGCUGGAAAAGAGGAAAGACUGUUUCAAAC
Molecule: long non-coding RNA, 803 nt
Filed under: Homo sapiens (human)
Lineage: Eukaryota; Metazoa; Chordata; Mammalia; Primates; Hominidae
Description: HSALNT0353239
Source: RNAcentral